CAGGACGAACGCUGGCGGCGUGCCUAAUACAUGCAAGUCGAACGGUCUUUUCUAUGGAAGCUUGCUUCCACUGAGAAGAUAGUGGCGAACGGGUGAGUAACACGUGGGUAACCUGCCCAUAAGAGGGGGAUAACAUCUGGAAACGGGUGCUAAUACCGCAUAGUUUUCUUGAUCGCAUGAUCGGGAAAGGAAAGACGGCCUUUGUGCUGUCGCUUAUGGAUGGACCCGCGGCGUAUUAGUUAGUUGGUGAGGUAACGGCUCACCAAGACGAUGAUACGUAGCCGACCUGAGAGGGUGAUCGGCCACAUUGGGACUGAGACACGGCCCAAACUCCUACGGGAGGCAGCAGUAGGGAAUCUUCCGCAAUGGACGAAAGUCUGACGGAGCAACGCCGCGUGAGUGAAGAAAGGUUUUCGGAUCGUAAAACUCUGUUGUCAGAGAAGAACAAGUUGGAGAGUAACUGCUCCAGCCUUGACGGUAUCUGACCAGAAAGCCACGGCUAACUACGUGCCAGCCGCCGC
RNAcentral lists this ribosomal RNA (521 nucleotides) under uncultured bacterium. Its description in RNAcentral is "bacterial SSU rRNA". It matches the Rfam family "Bacterial small subunit ribosomal RNA", at positions 25 to 518 of the family's 1533-position model. The record is from RNAcentral.